GGAGGUGCUGUGGCUCAGUGGUAGAGCUUCUGUUUUGUGGGCAGAAAGUCCCAGGUUCAAUUCCUGGCAUCUCCA
Euleptes europaea (tarantolino) is the source of this 75-nucleotide non-coding RNA. The record is from the annotation of a RefSeq genome assembly. NCBI's taxonomy places the organism in Eukaryota, Metazoa, Chordata, Lepidosauria, Squamata, Sphaerodactylidae.